CGAGGCGUAGCGCAGUUUGGUAGCGCACUGCGUUCGGGACGCAGGGGUCGGAGGUUCAAAUCCUCUCGCCUCGA
This 74-nucleotide transfer RNA is filed under the name Fidelibacterota bacterium. RNAcentral's name for it is "tRNA-Pro". It matches the Rfam family "tRNA". From Rfam's summary of the family: Transfer RNA (tRNA) molecules are approximately 80 nucleotides in length. The record is from RNAcentral. Lineage: Bacteria; Pseudomonadati; Fidelibacterota.